Molecule: ribosomal RNA, 86 nt
Filed under: Reyranella sp.
Lineage: Bacteria; Pseudomonadati; Pseudomonadota; Alphaproteobacteria; Hyphomicrobiales; Reyranellaceae
Description: partial 16S ribosomal RNA
Rfam family: Bacterial small subunit ribosomal RNA
Source: RNAcentral
AAACUUGAGAGUUUGAUCCUGGCUCAGAACGAACGCUGGCGGCAGGCUUAACACAUGCAAGUCGAACGCGUGUAGCAAUACACGAG